CAGAGACCUCAAGCGUUAUCCGGAAUCAGUUGGGCGUAAAGCGUACCGAUAGGUGGUUAAGAAAGUCAGAUGUGAAAUUCCAAGGCUCAACCUUGGGACUGUCAUUUGAAACUUCUUGACUAGGAGGGCAAAGAGGAAGCUGGAACGAACGGUGUAGUAGUGAAAUGCGUUGAUAUCGUUCGGAACACCAAUAGCGAAGGCAGGCUUCUGGGUGCCACCUGACACUGCUAGGACGAAAGCGUGGGGAGCGAAGGGGUUAGAUACCCCCGUAGUCCACGCUGUAAACGAUGUAUGUUAGGUGCUGGGGAGUAUCGACCCUCUUCAGUACCACAGCUAACGCGUUAAACAUACCGCCUGGGGAGUACGGCCGCAAGGCUA
RNAcentral lists this ribosomal RNA (378 nucleotides) under uncultured organism. RNAcentral describes it as "bacterial SSU rRNA". It matches the Rfam family "Bacterial small subunit ribosomal RNA", at positions 526 to 896 of the family's 1533-position model. The record is from RNAcentral.